This 392-nucleotide ribosomal RNA is filed under the name Pseudochattonella sp. Its description in RNAcentral is "partial small subunit ribosomal RNA". It matches the Rfam family "Eukaryotic small subunit ribosomal RNA", at positions 587 to 975 of the family's 1831-position model. Lineage: Eukaryota; Dictyochophyceae; Florenciellales. The record is from RNAcentral.
AGCUCCAAUAGCGUAUAUUAAAGUUGUUGCAGUUAAAAAGCUCGUAGUUGGAUUUCUGGCGUCGCCGCCCGGUCGGCCUCGAAAGGGGUUCGCACUCGUUGGCGCGCGUCGCCAUCCUCGGGGGAAGGCCGCCUGGCAUUAAGUUGUCGGGCGGUCGACGCUCGUCGUUUACUGUGAACAAAUUAGAGUGUUCAAAGCAGGCUUAGGCCGUUGAAUACAUUAGCAUGGAAUAAUGAGAUAGGACUUUGGUGGUCUAUUUUGUUGGUUUGCACGCCGAAGUAAUGAUUAAUAGGGGCGGUUGGGGGUAUUCGUAUUCAAUUGUCAGAGGUGAAAUUCUUGGAUUUAUGGAAGACGAACUACUGCGAAAGCAUUUACCAAGGAUGUUUUCAUUA